Sus scrofa (pig) is the source of this 3707-nucleotide non-coding RNA. The record is from RefSeq and is a predicted model, not a curated record. Lineage: Eukaryota; Metazoa; Chordata; Mammalia; Artiodactyla; Suidae.
ACUCUCUGUAUUUGCAUGCACAGAAGACAAAGAAAGAAAUCUUGCUUUGCUUUUACAUCUUCGUUACCUUCUAUUUGUAGGUUCACUUUGUAGAUAGUGACAUAUAUUUAACCAUACUUUAUUGUAUGCUUGAAAGUUUCUAAGACAAUAGAGCUUUAAUAUUCUCACCAUCCAUAAUUACAAUAAAAUAACUAUGUGAAGUGGAGAAUGUUUAUCUAACCUAAUUUGAUAAACAUUUUACAACGUAUAUGCACAUGUCAAAUCAUCACAUUGUACAUACACCCUAAACUUACAUGAUGUUAUGUGUCAAUUAUAUUUCAAUGAAGCUAGGAAAAAAUAAUCUAGUUUCUUUUAGGGAGAAAAAGGCACAAGGAAAAAAGCUAUGCAGUCCUUCAAACUAUACUGCUUUCUUUUUGGACAUGACUUUCUUUUCUCAAAAAGCAUGUUUGAAAAAUGUUUCAUAGGUGGCUUAGCUUUCUCUCUCCUCCAGUAAGACAGAAGCUGGGAGGUUACCACACAAAUAGAACAAAGAUUUUCAAAUAGGCAUUUCUACAUAUAGUCACCUUACUCUGGGUGUCUCAAAACAAAGUCUGCUUUAAGAAACAGGGCUUAUGAGACUGACAGCAUGUUUCUUCUUGUGGAGAGUUAUAUUUGUCUAUUUUCACAAACAGAACAGGUUGGGAAGUUACAGGCCUAGAAAAAUGUAAUAAAAAGCUCCAGAUUCAUCUUCUGUUUGGUUUUAAUAUAGUCAUUUUCUCUUUCCACUUUCAAUGACUGCAGGAUUUAAUUUGAGUAAUGCCACAGGAAUGUGGUUUCAAGGAGAAAAAAAAAAAUCUUCAAAUACCCACCUCCCUGUUUCUCACUAGAAAAAAGAAUCGUUCACUAUAUGCUGGCUUUUGAAAUGCUUUCGUCUUUUUUGCUGGCAGUUGUGUUUUCUUAUUUAAAUAGAUAAAUAUAAAUAUAUUGAAAUGUAAAUAUAGCUCUCAAAGAGAGCCCUUAGCAAAAUACAAAAUUCUUUUGAUGUGUUUCAAAACAAUAGCACCACCAAAUUUUGUGACAAAAUAAUAAAAAUUAGUGGUUUUAACUUCUUUUUGUCUGCCUCUAUCAAUGUUUUUUCAAUAUCAUUAUUUUCUGAGAGCACAUACUGAAUAUUUUUUUUUUCUCUGAGAAACUCAUGGAUCUUUAUAAACAGCAAAUUGGAAACAUGGGGCACCAAACUCUAAGUCUUUAUUUGGCAGAAACAUAGGAAGCUGGGGUACUGGAACAUUCCAGUCAAUUCUUAAGAAAACCACAGACUGGGGAAUGAAUGAAGGUGCACGUAAUUGCCACAGGCACAUUCCCUCUGGUCAGUUCUCAGCUGGACUGAUGGGUCCCAAGUCAACUUCUUUCCUUUCCUGUAUCCCCUAAAGGGUCCCUUAAUAAUGGUCCCUCUUCUUUUUGCUUCAAGUCAGCCCUGAUUCAUCUAUUGAACCCGAGAGUCAUAACUGGUCUGUUUCUCCUUCUUCCCCUAGUGCUCAUGGCAGACAUCACUAAUUGAUCAUGACUUAGACAACCAUUUGCUUGCUCAGACAUUGUAUGAGGAGUUCCCAUUGUGGCUCAGCGGAAACGAACUCAACUAGUAUACAUGAGCAAUCGGGUUUAAUUCCUGGCCCUGCUCAGUGGGUUAAGGAUCUGGUGUUGCUGUGAGCUGUGGUGUAGGCUGGCAGCUACAGCUCUGAUUGGACCCCUAGCCUGGGAAAUUCCAUAUGCUGCAGGUUCAGCCCUAAAAAUGCAAAAAAAAAAAAAAAGAAAAGAAAAGAAAAGAAAUUGUAUGAAAGAAGGAAAUUUUGUCAUUCUUGCCCUAAUUCACGAUACGGUUCCUUAUAGAUUGCCUAACCCUUGCCAGAUUCCUUCCCCAAGAAGGCUGUAUAAUGCUUUCUGCUGUCAUGAAAGGCUUCUGCUAAGAAUCACAGCGCCACCAUCUGUCUGGCUUUGAGUGGUGCCUGCUGCCUGGACGUUGCUCUUCGCUGUCUGCAGGACUGGAGUUCCAGGUACAGAGACCUGCCUGGAUCAGAUCUGACAUGACCUUUUAACUGCUGUAUCCUGGACUCGAUUGUCAGCCCUGUCUUCAAGAAAUGCCAUGCACCGUAUGCAUUUGCUUUUAUGAAGUAAAAAUGGCAAUUCCCGGUAGAAGGACACUGUGGAGGAUGGGAAACAGAUGCUUUGGUCAGAUCCCAGGAUACGACACCAUGGAAAUGCAAAAGAACAAGAAAGCAAUGACAUAAACCUCAACUUCAAGGAGCUGAUUGGCCAGAUGACAUGGACGCACCUUGUUUCGGCAAACUUUCAACAGCGCUUUUUGAACAUAGGUUGGCCUUGUUUCCUAAGGCUGAAAAGACUCAGGGAACAUUUGAAGAUAAGUGACUCAUCCUGUCCAUCUCUUUGACUUCACACUUCGGUGGGGAGAUUGGUAUCCCGAGGAAGGACCCCCUUCCUUUAGAUAGAGAAAAGCAAAGUCUGGAAAGGACCACUGAAUAAUAACCAGUCAGAUCACACAUUUGUUGCAAAUAUGGAAAAGAAUUUCUUUAAAGUUUUCCUCAUGUGGGAAUGGCAGGAAUCUUAGGAUGAGUGCCCCAGAGGCAGAUCUUGAGAGAAGGAUUUGAGUGCAAGUAGCUUCUUGGAAGCUGACAGCAGGAAGCAGAGGUUCUUGGAAGGUGGGAAAUUUAGACAAGAAGGGAAGAGAGCCAGCAAUAAAGGGUGUAUUAUUGGGCAACGUACUGAUGCAGGUAACUGGGCUCAGUGGCUCUGAGUCCUGAGGCUCUGAGUCCUGAGUUGUUCAAUCUCAGAUCGUGGAGGCCGGGGCAUGGAUCUGUGGACUUCCAUCCUUCAUUGAUGGAGACCUGCCCUCGGGAACAUAAACUCCCCAGUUCUUCUGGCUCUCCCUGAGCCAGGGCAGGCUCCUGAGAACGCCCAGGAGAGCGUGGCCUUGCCGCGUAUGGGAAGCAGAGGAUUCCUGGGUGAUGAGCAGAUGGUUCUGCUGCAGAAUGCUGAUAACUGACCUACCCCGAGAAGCCAAAAAAGAAAAUGAAUCUAUGGCUAUAAAUGAAUAAAUGAGUGCACUGAAAUUUUGUGGAGGGGUGUCGUAUUUCUAUGGUUUCGACAUACCUUCUUACAAAAUGCUUAUUAGCUUCCAAGGGGAAAAGAGGACCUUUCCAGUGAAUCUAGUGGUCAAAGUUAACAUGACCAGUCAUGAGACAAGUUAAACCACGUCCUGCCUGGUAGACCCCGUGAGAACGGAGCAUCACUUCCGGGGUAGCACUGCCAGGGAAGCAUGAACCGACACUAAUGCCGAAGGAAUAUCAGGCGAGCUCCACUUGAACGGCCUUCUGCAGUGUGUAACCUGCUCUGUGAACUUUUAAAAGUGUCAAGGUCGUGACAGUCAAGGAAAGACUGAAGAACUGGUCUAGACUGAAGAUAUCUGAAGAGCGAGACCAACAAAGGGUCUCUCCUUAAUGGCAGGUAAUCCCAUAGACAGUGUCACUGUACCAUCAGGUAAAAGGACCGUCGAGCCAAGCUGGGCGCUAGGUCCCAGAGCUCCAGCUGAAUUCUAGUCUGAUUGAGCAGCAGUUUCACUUUGAAGAGCUACAUACAGGAGAAUUCCUGAAGUCACCAUCUAUGCUGAGAAUCAGUUCCCUUAACCAAGUGUCCUAACAGGCGAGAUAUUUCAA